UCCUCUCUGUUCACGAGCGAACAGGAGCGAGGAGAGGAGGAAGACGACGAUUCGCCCGACGCCAGCUGGCCCCUCCCGUUGACUAGUGCGUGGACCCCACGGCCCCACAAGUCAGCGAGACAGGAGCCGGUCCCGCCUCUGCUGACUAGGAUAAGUGGAAGCGUAUUCCGGUGGAAUACAUCUUCCCUAUCCGAAAGCGUACUCGGUCUCUGUUGCGGUUCCAUUUACGUUUUCUCAUCGGGAAGCGUAUUCUGUCGAAAGGCGCUUUCUGUUUUUCUGUCCAGGCCCUGUUUGAAAAUAUUUUCAUUACAGAAAGGUCCCUGGCUGAAAACACUUCAUAUCUUUUUAACCACAACUCCAAAUGAGGUGAUUCCAAAGCCCACUUCUUUGUUUCGUCGAGCCCGUUCUGUUGGUUUCAUUUUCACUAUGGUUUGACACUGUGAAAAUGACCUUUUUGCCCUUGCGCGUAAACAGCCCCUUCGAGAGAGAACCGUUUCCGGCAAAUCUUUCCGCGGCUUCACCGCACUUCUCCCCGGUGCCUUCUUCAUCCCCAGGCAAGCCACAAUACCCACUUGCAUGAUAGUCAUGCAGUAGCCAUGGUUUUCAACUUGAAUCUUUAUUAAAUGUUUGCUUGUUGAAAAGAUGGUUACCGUUGUUCCGGUGAUGUUUAAAUUUGCAUGUUCACUUUUGUGCUAUGUUGUCUUGUACUCUGUUAUCAUGUUCUACCUGCUAGUAUCUCCUUUCAUAAGUUUAUGCUUGCUAGUAGUACAUGUUGAUGUUGGUGAUGGUCUUCGGUGCAUGACUUCCGUCUGUCCCGAGUGCCGUUGUUAUGCAUGUUCCAUUGCAUCCAGUUGGUUAAAUGCUUGCAUGAUGGCAUUGUUGAUAUGUUCUUGCAUGAUAUUUAUUGUUGAUGCUAGUGGUCAUGCUAUGUUUCGGAGAAGUAUGUACUUAUGAUGUUCAUGCUCUUCAUUAUGCCAUGUUCAGUUGGAUAUGAUUUAUUGUUGAUAUGGUGAAUAGUUAUGUGAUACCCUCAUGAUUGUGUUGAUAUCAUGUUCAUGCAUUUUUAUCAUGACUCAGCAUAUUUGCAUUCAAGUUAACCGGAUUAAAUUGAACUUGAACAACUGUUGGCUGAGUCAUGGUGCCGCUGAAUCGAUGCUGACCAGUGCAACCACGCUUACCGGUAUGGGACGGUCCUAACUGGGUCUAUUGUUGUGCCUCUCGCCGGUGCCUCCAACGAGGGAAGGUUAUGGGCGCGCGCUACCCUGAUCAGGUAGGCGGACAUAACCUUGUGUGCCCGUUGUUGAGUUUUUUUGGAUCCGUGUCCCCGUGUGGGACGGGCCACGACGGUGGUCGUUUUGUCUUUGGUAGACACGGGGCCACCCAUGACUUAGCCCAGAGGGGAGUGAGUCGGAGUGGCCGGGAGAGUGUCAUGGCAGUAGAUCGGUUUUGUUGGAACGUCGUUGGUCCACGCGAAUGGGAGUGCGAGGCCAUGGGUUCCGUAGUGUGGGUACAGUGUACUAACCUCUGCAGAGUGUAUAUUAAAUCUAUCGAUAGCCGCGUCCGCGGAUAAGGGCCCAGGUCGAAAGUAGGGUACACCAUGAGUCAACAGUAAUAGUAAUAACUUGAUUAAUGACAACCCGUGGUUGUGAUCGCCGUAAGGAUCACGGGCCAUUUAUUGGUCGGGUUGUGAUCGUCGUAAGGAUCACGGGCCUUUUACUGGUCGGGUUGUGAUCGCCGUAAGGAUCACGGGCCAUUUAUUGGUCGGGUUGUGAUCGCCGUAAGGAUCACGGUUUGGGACCAAGUGUUGGUCGUGGUUGUGAUCGCCGUAAGGAUCACGAUGGUAUCAAGGAUACCGAGUUGUUGGAUAUUCGUGUUGUUGUGCGAGAAUCGUGGGUAAAGAUCAAGCUCCUUGUGGUCAUUUACUGGUCGCUACGGUAUUGUUUAUACCAAGCUUGAUUUGAUCCUGAGAUGAUCGUGUGAUGUCCGAGGUCGGUAAGUGAUGCAUGUGAAGGUUACCAAGUAACCCGAGCGGAAUAAGUGGUGCAUAUAGUGUCAUCAUGUUGCAUGCUAGUAUUGUAGAUUAAUAUGUUCAUGUUGUGUUAGUUGUAUCAUGUUCAUGCUAUAUUGUUCUGAUGAUAUCAUGAUAAUCCCUGCUUAACCUGUAAUUGCCAUGCUGUUGUUUGUCUUGAAUGCUUCUGGUUAUUGUGAGCUUGCAAGUACAUUCAAUGUACUGACCUGGCGUGUCAUGCCAGUUUGCAGGUCAUGCCGGAUUUGAUUGCUUGCUUGUCGUGGUUUCCGUUCGUGCGAGCUAGGAUAAGCGUUCCAGCCAGAGUCCCUGCGGAGUGGAGUUCACCACCGUCGCCGUUGUUCCGCUGCUAGAAUUAAUCCGCUGCUUCGAGUUGUUCUGCUGCUUGCAUAGAGCAACUGAGGAUGGCGUAGUGUCGCCGUACCGAUGUUAUUCAUUGUAAUAUCGGAGACCUUGUAUUCAUAUUCGUGUAAUAAUAGAAGGCUGGUUUGUUCUAUGCUGAGCAGUGCCGUAUUUCAGAAGACUUCAUCUCGAUCUCUGGGCUGGAAUACGGGGCGUUCCGGUUUUCUCUGAGCCGGGGUGCCACACGUAUGAAUGUAAAGUCGGAGUCAGACUGAAUGAAAUCUAUGGUUUGAUCGAUUGAAUGUUCUGCUAGAGUCGUAUCAAAUUAAAUAUAAAACGUCAUCAAG
This 2715-nucleotide long non-coding RNA is filed under the name Triticum aestivum (bread wheat). Its description in RNAcentral is "long non-coding RNA (TAES_LNC024442)". The record is from RNAcentral. Lineage: Eukaryota; Viridiplantae; Streptophyta; Magnoliopsida; Poales; Poaceae.